Non-coding RNA from Leucoraja erinaceus (little skate), 384 nucleotides. NCBI's taxonomy places the organism in Eukaryota, Metazoa, Chordata, Chondrichthyes, Rajiformes, Rajidae. The record is from the annotation of a RefSeq genome assembly.
AUGGCGGCUGAAAAGAUGAAGGGCGAAAGGAUGCUGGUCAGGACUAUAAAGAAGGACAAUGCUACCUCGGUUACGGUUAAUCAGUUUCCCGGCGCUCUGACCGGAUCUCCCGGCCGAUACGUGGAGGUGACGUGCAUUAUACCGGACAGUACCAGCGUUUACAUGUACUGGUACAGACAAAACCCGGGACAAGGGCCACACGACCUGUUCUACUCUAUAGCAGCUGGGAUCGUGCAACCAACGUCGCCGGUGGAUGGUUUUACAGCAGAAAGGCCAACGGGCAACGAGUUCUCCCUAAAGUCCUCCGUCCUGGAGGCGAAUGCAUCGGCUAUUUCCUCAUCGACCAACGACCUGAGCAGCACGCCGACAGCUUCGCAGGCGUGA